GGAUGUGAAGGCAAUCUGGCUGCAGCAUGUCAUGCCACUGAUCACCACGGCUGAUUCAGCUGACCUGGCUGGUUAGGCAGGUGUCUCUUCCUCCUUCCCCACUCC
Fukomys damarensis (Damara mole-rat) is the source of this 105-nucleotide unclassified non-coding RNA. Its record names the gene 7SK. It matches the Rfam family "7SK RNA". Rfam says of the family: 7SK was discovered as an abundant small nuclear RNA in the mid-70s but a possible function has only recently been suggested. Two independent studies have found that 7SK RNA binds the CDK9/cyclin T complex (known as elongation factor P-TEFb). The record is from Ensembl. NCBI's taxonomy places the organism in Eukaryota, Metazoa, Chordata, Mammalia, Rodentia, Bathyergidae.